UGAGGAACAUGACCUUCGGCGGGGGAGUAGCCGGCCCAACGGCCGGGUAAUACCGCGUACGACCACAUGGGGACAUCCCUGAGUGGUGAAAGCAGCAAUGCGCCGAUGGAGUGCCUCGCGGCCUAUCAGCUAGUUGGUGGGGUAACGGCUCACCAAGGCAACGACGGGUAGCUGGUCUGAGAGGGUGAUCGGCCACAUUGGAACUGAGACACGGUCCAGACUCCUACGGGAGCAG
This 235-nucleotide ribosomal RNA is filed under the name uncultured bacterium. RNAcentral describes it as "partial 16S ribosomal RNA". It matches the Rfam family "Bacterial small subunit ribosomal RNA", at positions 118 to 347 of the family's 1533-position model. The record is from RNAcentral.